GUCCAGCUGACGAGUCUCGAAUAAGACGAAACGCAGAUUCUGGAU
This is a non-coding RNA of Schistosoma mansoni, 45 nucleotides long. The record is from Rfam. NCBI's taxonomy places the organism in Eukaryota, Metazoa, Platyhelminthes, Trematoda, Strigeidida, Schistosomatidae.